Molecule: ribosomal RNA, 434 nt
Filed under: uncultured Lachnospiraceae bacterium
Lineage: Bacteria; Bacillati; Bacillota; Clostridia; Lachnospirales; Lachnospiraceae
Description: partial 16S ribosomal RNA
Rfam family: Bacterial small subunit ribosomal RNA
Source: RNAcentral
ACGGGAGGCAGCAGUGGGGAAUAUUGGACAAUGGGCGAAAGCCUGAUCCAGCGACGCCGCGUGAGUGAAGAAGUAUUUCGGUAUGUAAAGCUCUAUCAGCAGGGAAGAUAAUGACGGUACCUGACUAAGAAGCCCCGGCUAGCUACGUGCCAGCAGCCGCGGUAAUACGUAGGGGGCAAGCGUUAUCCGGAUUUACUGGGUGUAAAGGGAGCGUAGACGGUAUGGCAAGUCUGAUGUGAAAACCCAGGGCUCAACCCUGGGACUGCAUUGGAAACUGUCAAACUAGAGUGCAGUAGAGGUAAGUGGAAUUCCUAGUGUAGCGGUGAAAUGCGUAGAUAUUAGGAGGAACACCAGUGGCGAAGGCGGCUUACUGGACUGUAACUGACGUUGAGGCUCGAAAGCGUGGGGAGCAAACAGGAUUAGAUCCCCUGGUA